UUUGGGGGUUUGGCGCAGCCUGAUGCAGCACGCCGCGUGGGCGAUGAAGGCCUUCGGGUUGUAAAGCCCUUUUCUGAGGGAAGAGAGAGGACGGUACCUCAGGAAUAAGGUUCGGCUAACUACGUGCCAGCAGCCGCGGUAAUACGUAGGAACCGAGCGUUAUCCGGAUUCACUGGGCGUAAAGCGCGUGUAGGCGGUUCGACAAGUCGGACGUGAAAGCUCCUGGCUUAACUGGGAGAGGCCGUACGAAACUGUCGGGCUUGAGGUCGGGAGAGGGACGUAGAAUUCCCGGUGUAGUGGUGGAAUGCGUAGAUAUCGGGAGGAAUACCAGUGGCGAAGGCGACGUCCUGGCCCGCACCUGACGCUCAGACGCGAAAGCGUGGGGAGCAAACAGGCUUAGAUACCCUGGUAGUCCACGCUGUAAACGGUGGAUACUAGGUGUUGGUGGUUUAACGCCAUCAGUGCCGAAGCAAACGCGUUAAGUAUCCCGCCUGGGGACUACGGCCGCAAGGCUAAAACUCAAAUGAAUUGACGGA
This 536-nucleotide ribosomal RNA is filed under the name uncultured anaerobic bacterium. Its description in RNAcentral is "bacterial SSU rRNA". It matches the Rfam family "Bacterial small subunit ribosomal RNA", at positions 359 to 917 of the family's 1533-position model. The record is from RNAcentral.